GAUUAACAUUGCUGUACUGCGUGGUGAAAGAGGUACCCAAAAACGAGAGCUGAUUGAGGAGAAAAAACUGAAGCACAAGGCAGUUUGUCUACCAUACAAAAGUGGCUACGUAUUUAUGCCAUUGCUUCAUGGCAUUGAAAGGAACUAACCAGCCUAGGAUAAGUGACAGAAGAAAAUGAGUCCACUAAUAGCUGUUCAUCUUUUAAUGUUAGAAGUUUUUAGUUACAAAUGAUUGUCAUUCACUUGUUCGCAGUUGUCUCAUUUGUUUUUUCUAUAGACCAGAACAAUGUGGACUAGAGCGGUGUGGAGAGAGGAGACUAUGGAGAUGGAGGAAGUGAUACCAUCAUGUUGGGUUAAGAAUGGUGGUGUAUUGUGGCCUACACAAGGAGCUGCGAGAGCGUUGAAGGCCUGCAAAGAACCAGAAGAAUCAUGGACAAAAUUCCCAUUAAUAAAAAUGAAGAUUCAGUCAGAUGACAAGAAUGAAUGCGAGAAGUAUGAUUUUACUACAACUGCUGAAUUAAGUGGCUCAGAAGAAGAGUUACCGAUGAAGAGGAGGCCAAAAAAAAAAAUUUAUCCCGACUACCAAAUUGAUGAACCAUCUGUCAAUGAAGACAGUAAAAAAGAAUCUUCUCCAGGUCUUAUGAUAAAGAGUACAGGU
This is a long non-coding RNA of Clarias gariepinus (North African catfish), 658 nucleotides long. RefSeq lists it as uncharacterized. The transcript is spliced from 3 exons. The record is from RefSeq and is a predicted model, not a curated record. NCBI's taxonomy places the organism in Eukaryota, Metazoa, Chordata, Actinopteri, Siluriformes, Clariidae.